GGAGGAAAGUAGGGGAUCGUAAGACCUUGCGCUUUUGGAGUGGCCGAUGCCUGAUUAGCUAGUUGGUGGGGUAAGAGCCUACCAAGGCGACGAUCAGUAGUUGGUCUGAGAGGACGACCAGCCACACUGGGACUGAGACACGGCCCAGACUCCUACGGGAGGCAGCAGUGGGGAAUUUUGGACAAUGGGCGAAAGCCUGAUCCAGCAAUGCCGCGUGAGUGAAGAAGGCCUUCGGGUUGUAAAGCUCUUUCAGUCGAGAAGAAAAGGUUGCGACUAAUAAUCGCAACUUAUGACGGUAUCGACAGAAGAAGCACCGGCUAACUACGUGCCAGCAGCCGCGGUAAUACGUAGGGUGCGAGCGUUAAUCGGAAUUACUGGGCGUAAAGGGUGCGCAGGCGGCUCCGUAAGUCAGAUGUGAAAUCCCCGGGCUUAACCUGGGAAUUGUGUUUGAAACUACAAAGCUAGA
Molecule: ribosomal RNA, 466 nt
Filed under: uncultured ammonia-oxidizing beta proteobacterium
Lineage: Bacteria; Pseudomonadati; Pseudomonadota; Betaproteobacteria
Description: bacterial SSU rRNA
Rfam family: Bacterial small subunit ribosomal RNA
Source: RNAcentral